GACGAACCGAGCGAACGUUGUUCGGAAUCACUGGGCUUAAAGGGCGCGUAGGCGGGCACUCAAGUCUGUGGUGAAAUCCGGCAGCUUAACUGUCGAACUGCCGUGGAUACUGGGUGUCUCGAGGGAGGUAGGGGCGUGCGGAACUGAUGGUGGAGCGGUGAAAUGCGCAGAUAUCAGGAGGAACACCGGUGGCGAAGGCGGGUCUCUGGGCAACAACUGACGCUGAGGAGCGAAAGCGUGGGGAGCGAACAGG
RNAcentral lists this ribosomal RNA (253 nucleotides) under uncultured bacterium. RNAcentral describes it as "partial 16S ribosomal RNA". It matches the Rfam family "Bacterial small subunit ribosomal RNA", at positions 524 to 776 of the family's 1533-position model. The record is from RNAcentral.